This 1288-nucleotide ribosomal RNA is filed under the name Klebsiella pneumoniae. Its description in RNAcentral is "partial 23S ribosomal RNA". It matches the Rfam family "Bacterial large subunit ribosomal RNA", at positions 1661 to 2925 of the family's 2925-position model. The record is from RNAcentral. Lineage: Bacteria; Pseudomonadati; Pseudomonadota; Gammaproteobacteria; Enterobacterales; Enterobacteriaceae.
AGGUGGUCAGGUAGAGAAUACCAAGGCGCUUGAGAGAACUCGGGUGAAGGAACUAGGCAAAAUGGUGCCGUAACUUCGGGAGAAGGCACGCUGGUGUGUAGGUGAAGUCCCUGCGGAUGGAGCUGAGACCAGUCGAAGAUACCAGCUGGCUGCAACUGUUUAUUAAAAACACAGCACUGUGCAAACACGAAAGUGGACGUAUACGGUGUGACGCCUGCCCGGUGCCGGAAGGUUAAUUGAUGGGGUUAUCCGUAAGGAGAAGCUCUUGAUCGAAGCCCCGGUAAACGGCGGCCGUAACUAUAACGGUCCUAAGGUAGCGAAAUUCCUUGUCGGGUAAGUUCCGACCUGCACGAAUGGCGUAAUGAUGGCCAGGCUGUCUCCACCCGAGACUCAGUGAAAUUGAACUCGCUGUGAAGAUGCAGUGUACCCGCGGCAAGACGGAAAGACCCCGUGAACCUUUACUAUAGCUUGACACUGAACAUUGAGCCUUGAUGUGUAGGAUAGGUGGGAGGCUUUGAAGCGUGGACGCCAGUCUGCGUGGAGCCAACCUUGAAAUACCACCCUUUAAUGUUUGAUGUUCUAACGUUGGCCCCUGACCGGGGUUGCGGACAGUGUCUGGUGGGUAGUUUGACUGGGGCGGUCUCCUCCCAAAGCGUAACGGAGGAGCACGAAGGUUAGCUAAUCCUGGUCGGACAUCAGGAGGUUAGUGCAAUGGCAUAAGCUAGCUUGACUGCGAGCGUGACGGCGCGAGCAGGUGCGAAAGCAGGUCAUAGUGAUCCGGUGGUUCUGAAUGGAAGGGCCAUCGCUCAACGGAUAAAAGGUACUCCGGGGAUAACAGGCUGAUACCGCCCAAGAGUUCAUAUCGACGGCGGUGUUUGGCACCUCGAUGUCGGCUCAUCACAUCCUGGGGCUGAAGUAGGUCCCAAGGGUAUGGCUGUUCGCCAUUUAAAGUGGUACGCGAGCUGGGUUUAGAACGUCGUGAGACAGUUCGGUCCCUAUCUGCCGUGGGCGCUGGAGAAUUGAGGGGGGCUGCUCCUAGUACGAGAGGACCGGAGUGGACGCAUCACUGGUGUUCGGGUUGUCAUGCCAAUGGCACUGCCCGGUAGCUAAAUGCGGAAGAGAUAAGUGCUGAAAGCAUCUAAGCACGAAACUUGCCCCGAGAUGAGUUCUCCCUGAGACUUUAAGUCUCCUGAAGGAACGUUGAAGACGACGACGUUGAUAGGCCGGGUGUGUAAGCGCAGCGAUGCGUUGAGCUAACCGGUACUAAUGAACCGUGAGGCUUAACCUU